GCCCUAGAGGAGCGUGAGACUUUUCGUUUUUGUGGCCUCUCUCUUCCUCUUGAGCAUUGCAUUUUUGCAUUUUCAAAGGGAGAGAGGGUGAGGGGAGUGAAGUCG
This 105-nucleotide non-coding RNA is filed under the name Chloropicon mariensis. Lineage: Eukaryota; Viridiplantae; Chlorophyta; Chloropicophyceae; Chloropicales; Chloropicaceae. The record is from RNAcentral.